This 252-nucleotide ribosomal RNA is filed under the name uncultured bacterium. RNAcentral describes it as "partial 16S ribosomal RNA". It matches the Rfam family "Bacterial small subunit ribosomal RNA", at positions 524 to 776 of the family's 1533-position model. The record is from RNAcentral.
UACGGAGGAUGCGAGUGUUAUCCGGAUUUAUUGGGUUUAAAGGGUGCGUAGGCGGACUGUCAAGUCAGCGGUAAAAUUGAGAGGCUCAACCUCUUCCCGCCGUUGAAACUGGUGGUCUUGAGUGGAUGAGAAGUACGCGGAAUGCGUGGUGUAGCGGUGAAAUGCAUAGAUAUCACGCAGAACUCCGAUUGCGAAGGCAGCGUACCGGCAUCCAACUGACGCUGAGGCACGAAAGCAUGGGGAUCAAACAGG